CUUGUCCUACGGGGGGCAGCAGUAGGGAAUAUUGCUCAAUGGGGGAAACCCUGAAGCAGCAACGCCGCGUGGAGGAUGAAGGUUUUCGGAUUGUAAACUCCUUUUGUUAGAGAAGAUAAUGACGGUAUCUAACGAAUAAGCACCGGCUAACUCCGCGCCAGCAGCCGCGGUAAUACGCAGGGUGCAAGCGUUACUCGGAAUCACUGUGCGUAAAGAGCGCGUAGGCGGGAUAGCAAGUCAGAUGUGAAAUC
This 251-nucleotide ribosomal RNA is filed under the name uncultured bacterium. Its description in RNAcentral is "partial 16S ribosomal RNA". It matches the Rfam family "Bacterial small subunit ribosomal RNA", at positions 333 to 601 of the family's 1533-position model. The record is from RNAcentral.